UAGAAAGAGCGGGGCUGGAAGGGUCUUCUGAGGGAUCCCAGCCAGGGUGCAAAGCAGGAUCCACUCCUGCUGUGUGAAUGGCUCUGAGCAGCAGCAGUGGGAGCAGAUGGAAAACAGGUCUCUGAGCCCUGGCAGGGCAGGUGAGCAGGGUUGGAGGACCAACAACAGCCUAACUUCACUAUCAGAGUGCAAUAACCCUGCCAGAGACAGCAAGGCCAGGGAACCAAAGAGUUCCCACAAGAGACCCCAGGAGCCACAGCAGAUGCUUUGACAGGGUACAGGCUAUGAAAACUCUGAACCUGCUGUGAAAGAAAAGGUGCAAAGAGGAAGCAGAACAGUUGGGAGCUCAGCUAUGGAGGAGUCAGAACUCUGUGACAAGUGAUGUGAGCAGCAGUGUUGGCAGUGGGGGGAAAGGCGGUGCUCAAACAUAUGGCUGUGAGGCUGGGACUGGAAAAGUGGGGCUCCUGGGAGACUUCAACCCUUUAUGAGUGCUGGAGGGGAAUGUGAAGAAUGGCUGCCCUGCUCUCAGAGCUGAGAUGCCUGCAGCUCGCCUGACUUUGAAUGGUGGAGGUUUUGGGUUGCAUUAGCAUGAGUUAUUAGAGCAGGGAAAUGCUCCCAGUCCUUUGGUAUUUGUCACUGUCAGCAGCUCUAACUUCUCUCCUCAACUUCAAAACAGACAGCUAUAGGCAUUUAACUCCUGGGAAUACAAAUCCCACUUUCAUUCAGGUUCUUAGCCACCUGGAAGGGAAAACACGCUUUUGCACAGCAGACCCAGCUCCACAAGGACUUCACACUGUGAUCCUCAUACUCUGUGCUUCUCAGCUCUCUAUUCCCCACCAGCUCAUGGAAAUCAAACCUGGCUUUCUGAACAGCCUGCCCACAGGCUCCUCAGCAAGAGCUGCCCAGGAUCUGGGUACGUAACAAGCAUUCAUUCUCAAAGCUAUAAUCCACACACCCAAAGGGCCUUCUGGCAACUACUUUUCUUUGUCAUAUGAGCAGGGUUUACCUGAUCCUACAGUGAACACGUUCCAGACAUCCCAACCAUGCACGCUGUCAGCUGCUGUGUAAACCACCAGCCUGGGAAAUCAGGUGCCAAAUUAGUCCAGCAUCUGUGAAGAACCAAACCCUACAGGGCAAGCUUCAACAUCUGUUCUUGGCACCCACGCUGCGACAAGCUGCUUUGAAAACCUGCUUUACAUUUUUAACCAAUUGUUUGUCAUUUUAGUUCAGGAUAGGGCUGAAGCUGCACCCAUGAGACUCCUCAGCAGCAGCCAGUUAAUCCUGUAACUUGUGUAUAUGUUGAAUUGUCCAACUAACUCAGGCCAUGGGACUUUUUUGUUUGUUUGUUUUGACAUCUUAACCUUCUUGCUUCACUGAGAUUAUCUCAUGGAAGACUGCUCCUACCAGAGGUUCUCCAUGAUUUUUUUUACAGACCGGGCUAUGUUCAAACCUUCACAAUAUUCACAUCCUCUCAUCAAGACAGGGCCAUCCUCUCAUCCUCAGUGGACCAUGGGAUAGGAAGGGUGGUGGCAACCAUUUUCCCUAAGCUGCUGUUCAUCAUAAGAAGUGAGGGCUCCAGAGCUGGAUGUCUGCAUCAGUUCCACAGCUGACACUGGAUCCUACCCUCCUGCCCCCAGGCUGUCCUUCCACUGCCUUUAUCUCAGCUGACAGAUUUUCACACAGCUCAUCUAUCUCGGCAGAAUGGCUUUUUAUGGAAGCCAGUCCUGUUGAAAAUGUUUUAUCCAGCUCUAAUCAUGUCUUCUUCCCUUUCAGCCCUAGAUGAAAGCCGAAGAAAAUUAUGCAGAAAAUGAAGAAAUUUGAAGGGGGAGGAGGAGGGAAGUCAGUUGAACACCACAGAAUCCAUGAAGGACUUUGAGUUAAAAUACAUGCCCAUAGCCACACAAAUUUUUAUCUUACCCCUUCUCUUCUCUUAUUUUUAUGAGCUGGGAUUAAUUUAUAUUUUUUUUCCAUGAGGAACUACUUUAUCUCCUAAAGCCUGACACACCGACGUGGCCAGCACAGCAGUAACAGCAGCAGAGCUUUGCACCACAGAGGUUGUGGUGGAUGGGGCAGCCCAUGGUACUCCUAAGGAGCCCUGCAAGGAGCUAGCAUGGCUUCAGGGCUGCAGAUUUGCCUGAGAAGAUGCCAUCAGGUUUAGAGCUGACCCAGAACCAAAGACAAACAGAUAUAUGAGGUAAAACUGACAUCAAGAUUUCUUGCCUUUUUGAAGGCAAAGAUGGAGGGGUGGUGGAGCCAGGAAGAAGAGGGUGGGCUUGGAGAAGAGAGCUACCAGCUGCACAGCACAACCAGCAACCCCCUUCCUCCAAAGCCUCAGCAUUAUUGUGAACAGAGGACAUGAUUCUCAAGAGUGACCUUUGGCUUGGCAUAGCCUGGCUGGCAGAUGGAGCAAGGAGCCCCUCAGCCCGGGAAGGAGCAGUCCCGUGGAGCCCAGCGUUCCGUGACAGCGAGGCCUCUGCUGCCGAGCAAGAGGAAAGGACUUCCCAAGGCAUGCAACUACGUGAGUGACCUAAGGAUACCAAGGUGCUGCCAUCAUCAAAGACCCUGGGAUACAACUGGCCCUUCCACACAUCUCAGGAGAGGGAAAACCAAGCACACGAGGUGCCCAGGACAGCCUGGGUGCAGAGAUGACACUACUGCUCACUCAGCCUGGCUCCCACAGCUCCAGCCAGCCUACAGCUGGGGCAGGUCAUGGCCAUGGAGCAGAAGAACGAAGGCUUCUGAGAGGAGGAAGGUCAGAAGAGAGUGUUUAUGGCUGAGAUGUCACAGGAGGGCCACUUAAUUUGGAUAGAUGCUAAAUGGUCUCCCAAAAAAGUGCAGAUCCAGU
This is a non-coding RNA of Cyanistes caeruleus (blue tit), 2845 nucleotides long. The record is from RefSeq and is a predicted model, not a curated record. Lineage: Eukaryota; Metazoa; Chordata; Aves; Passeriformes; Paridae.